AAAAUAAAAAUAAAAAAAUAAAGAUAAAAGUAAAGAGAGAGAUGAGAGAGAGGGAGAGACUUGAGACGAAGGAGAGAGAUAGGGAGAGAGGGAGAGAGUAGAGAGUAAAGAGUAGAGAGUAAAGAAAUUAAAAAAAAGGAAAAAACGUCGUAUUAGACCAACUGCCACAAGAAUCAAGAAUGGCCAUCUUAUCUUUCAAGGCUUGAAGUAAAUUCCAAAGGGUUACAAGGAUAGCAAUUGAGAAAGUAGCACUAGAUUUCAUGGUUAUUGGACAAUAUUCGGUCCUACAUGUACGUACUAUGUUAUUCUGUUGGAGUUUUACACAGGUUAACUAAAAAAAAAAAAA
Molecule: unclassified non-coding RNA, 346 nt
Filed under: Hevea brasiliensis (rubber tree)
Lineage: Eukaryota; Viridiplantae; Streptophyta; Magnoliopsida; Malpighiales; Euphorbiaceae
Source: RNAcentral